GCAGAGUAGAACAGAGUGAGGCAAGAGAAGGGUGAGUGAAGAGCGGUGGUAGUUGUGAAUGAAGUGCUAGAAGUUCAAUGACGUUACACAAAUGGUCAAGGUUAGCGGAUGCAUCUUCAAAUGCCAUAUCCUGUCAAAGGAAAAGGUGGAAAGCAACUGGAAGCACUUUACAAAGGAUGUGAAGGCAUUAGAGAGGGUGCAGGUUCAGCCUUAACUUAGAUAUAUUGACCAAUUCAGGACACCACACAUCAGGAAAGGAUGUGAAGUUAUUGGCGAGGGUACUGAAAAGAUUUACAAGAAUGGUUCUAGGGAUGAGAGACUUCAGUUACGA
This is a long non-coding RNA of Carcharodon carcharias (great white shark), 331 nucleotides long. RefSeq lists it as uncharacterized. The record is from RefSeq and is a predicted model, not a curated record. NCBI's taxonomy places the organism in Eukaryota, Metazoa, Chordata, Chondrichthyes, Lamniformes, Lamnidae. The transcript is spliced from 3 exons.